RNAcentral lists this transfer RNA (72 nucleotides) under Zea mays. It matches the Rfam family "tRNA". Rfam says of the family: Transfer RNA (tRNA) molecules are approximately 80 nucleotides in length. Their secondary structure includes four short double-helical elements and three loops (D, anti-codon, and T loops). The record is from Rfam by way of RNAcentral. Lineage: Eukaryota; Viridiplantae; Streptophyta; Magnoliopsida; Poales; Poaceae.
UGGGGCAUAGCCAAGCGGUAAGGCAACGAGUUUUGGUCCCGUUACUUGGAGGUUCGAAUCCUUUCGUCCUAG